Molecule: unclassified non-coding RNA, 200 nt
Filed under: soil metagenome
Description: partial contains internal transcribed spacer 2 and large subunit ribosomal RNA
Source: RNAcentral
AGCGUCAUUUCAACCCUCAAGCUCAGCUUGGUAUUGGGCCUCCGCCGGGCGACCGGCGGGCCUUAAAGUCAGUGGCGGCGCGUUGGGUCCUGAACGUAGUAACAUACAUCUCGUUACAGGGUCCCCGCGUGCUUCUGCCAUUAAACCCCCAACUUUCUAUGGUUGACCUCGGAUCAGGUAGGGAUACCCGCUGAACUUAA